This 447-nucleotide ribosomal RNA is filed under the name uncultured bacterium. Its description in RNAcentral is "bacterial SSU rRNA". It matches the Rfam family "Bacterial small subunit ribosomal RNA", at positions 355 to 825 of the family's 1533-position model. The record is from RNAcentral.
UGGGGAAUAUUGGACAAUGGGCGCAAGCCUGAUCCAGCCAUGCCGCGUGAGUGACGAAGGCCUUAGGGUUGUAAAGCUCUUUUGGCGGGGAAGAUAAUGACGGUACCCGUAGAAUAAGCUCCGGCUAACUUCGUGCCAGCAGCCGCGGUAAUACGAAGGGAGCUAGCGUUGUUCGGAAUCACUGGGCGUAAAGCGCACGUAGGCGGAUAGUUAAGUCAGGGGUGAAAUCCUGGGGCUCAACCCCAGAACUGCCUUUGAUACUGGCAAUCUAGAGUCCGGAAGAGGUUAGUGGAAUUCCCAGUGUAGAGGUGAAAUUCGUAGAUAUUGGGAAGAACACCAGUGGCGAAGGCGGCUAACUGGUCCGGUACUGACGCUGAGGUGCGAAAGCGUGGGGAGCAAACAGGAUUAGAUACCCACGUAGUCCCUGAGCGGGCUGGCAAGGCGCAU